UACGAAGGGGGCUAGCGUUGUUCGGAAUCACUGGGCGUAAAGCGCACGCAGGCGGAUCGAUAAGUCGGGGGUGAAAGCCCGGGGCACAACCUCGGAAUUGCCUUCGAUACUGUCGGUCUCGAGUCCGGGAGAGGUGAGUGGAAUUCCUAGUGUAGAGGUGAAAUUCGUAGAUAUUAGGAAGAACACCAGUGGCGAAGGCGGCUCACGGGCCCGGUACUGACUAUCAGGUGCGAAAGCGUGGGGAGCAAACAGG
This 253-nucleotide ribosomal RNA is filed under the name uncultured bacterium. RNAcentral's name for it is "partial 16S ribosomal RNA". It matches the Rfam family "Bacterial small subunit ribosomal RNA", at positions 524 to 776 of the family's 1533-position model. The record is from RNAcentral.